AACGAACGCUGGCGGCAGGCUUAACACAUGCAAGUCGAACGCCCGAGCAAUCGGGAGUGGCAGACGGGUGAGUAACACGUGGGAACAUACCCUUUGGUUCGGAACAACGCCGGGAAACUGGCGCUAAUACCGGAUAAGGCCUGUGGGCGAAAGAUUGAUCGCCGAAGGAUUGGCCCGCGUUCGAUUAGCUUGAUGGCGGGGUAACGGCCCACCAUGGCGACGAUCGAUAGCUGGUCUGAGAGGAUGGCCAGCCACAUUGGGACUGAGACACGGCCCAAACUCCUACGGGAGGCAGCAGUGGGGAAUAUUGGACAAUGGGCGCAAGCCUGAUCCAGCCAUGCCGCGUGAGUGAUGACGGCCUUAGGGUUGUAAAGCUCUUUCGCGCACGACGAUAAUGACGGUAGUGCGAGAAGAAGCCCCGGCUAACUUCGUGCCAGCAGCCGCUGUAACAC
RNAcentral lists this ribosomal RNA (452 nucleotides) under uncultured bacterium. RNAcentral's name for it is "bacterial SSU rRNA". It matches the Rfam family "Bacterial small subunit ribosomal RNA", at positions 29 to 526 of the family's 1533-position model. The record is from RNAcentral.